RNAcentral lists this ribosomal RNA (485 nucleotides) under uncultured bacterium. RNAcentral's name for it is "partial 16S ribosomal RNA". It matches the Rfam family "Bacterial small subunit ribosomal RNA", at positions 29 to 523 of the family's 1533-position model. The record is from RNAcentral.
AGUGAACGCUGGCGGCGUGCUUAACACAUGCAAGUCGAACGAGAACGGGAUAUAGCUUGCUAUAUUUGUCAGCUAAGUGGCGCACGGGUGAGUAAUAUAUAGAUAACCUGCCCUUAAGAAAGGAAUAACAGUUGGAAACGACUGCUAAUGCCCUAUAUGCCUUUAAUACAUAAGUAUGCAAGGGAAACGCUUUAGUGCUUAAGGAUGGGUCUGUAUGGUAUCAGCUUGUUGGUGAGGUAAUGGCUCACCAAGGCUAUGACGCCUAACUGGUUUGAGAGGAUGCUCAGUCACACUGGAACUGAGACACGGUCCAGACUCCUACGGGAGGCAGCAGUGGGGAAUAUUGCACAAUGGACGAAAGUCUGAUGCAGCAACGCCGCGUGGAGGAUGACACAUUUCGGUGCGUAAACUCCUUUUAUAUAGGAAGAUAAUGACGGUACUAUAUGAAUAAGCACCGGCUAACUCCGUGCCAGCCGCCGCGGUAA